This 337-nucleotide unclassified non-coding RNA is filed under the name soil metagenome. RNAcentral describes it as "partial contains 5.8S ribosomal RNA, internal transcribed spacer 2, and large subunit ribosomal RNA". The stretch from base 1 to 120 matches the Rfam family "5.8S ribosomal RNA", at positions 35 to 154 of the family's 154-position model. The record is from RNAcentral.
GAUGAAGAACGUAGCGAAAUGCGAUAAGUAGUGUGAAUUGCAGAAUUCAGUGAAUCAUCGAAUCUUUGAACGCACAUUGCGCCCCUUGGUAUUCCAUGGGGCAUGCCUGUUCGAGCGUCAUUUGUACCCUCAAGCUUUGCUUGGUGUUGGGUGUUUGUCCCGCGUUGCGCGUGGACUCGCCUUAAGGCGAUUGGCAGCCGGCAUAUUGGCCUUGGAGCGCAGCACAUUUUGCGCUUCUAGUCAUGAAUGUUGGCGUCCAUUAAGCCUAUACAUUUGCUCUUGACCUCGGAUCAGGUAGGGAUACCCGCUGAACUUAAGCAUAUCAAUAAGCGGAGGA